AUGCUGUCUGACCAUUUCCAUUUUCUGGUCAAACUGUAUGUAUGGAACAUUGUACUCAUGGAGUACUUUUUGCACAGCGCCUCAAUAAAUGAUCUGAACAUAAUUUUUGAAGUUUCUUGGCCUGUUUCACUACGGCUGGAGGGCUGCAGAGCUCUUGACGUGUCAAUGUUCUCACUGCAGUGGCAUCCUAGCGUGGAGGAAUACCCACCUCUGGGAACACGUGGAGCCACGGUCUCCACACCAAGAAAAUGGCCGGGUGGGGAGCAGAGCCUGGAGGAAUUUCCUGCACGAAGCGUGUCGGACCCCUCAGACUGCCUCCUCCAGGGUCCUGCCUGAUGGCACACCGAAGAAAGAGCAAAACCAGAAACUGAAGACAGGCAACCCAGGUUUGGAAUUUCCCACGAAACAAUACAGAAGUCAAGAUGCAGAUGCAAACAAUACUGCUG
Molecule: long non-coding RNA, 446 nt
Filed under: Struthio camelus australis
Lineage: Eukaryota; Metazoa; Chordata; Aves; Struthioniformes; Struthionidae
Description: lncRNA (ENSSCUG00000011394.1)
Source: RNAcentral